RNAcentral lists this transfer RNA (93 nucleotides) under Penicillium digitatum. Its description in RNAcentral is "tRNA-Val". The record is from RNAcentral. Lineage: Eukaryota; Fungi; Ascomycota; Eurotiomycetes; Eurotiales; Aspergillaceae.
AGUUUCCUGGUCUAGCGGUUAUGAUUUUCCGUUAACAAAUGCGACUAGCAUUCUGUUCCGGAAAGGUUCUGGGUUCGAUUCCCAGGGAAACUA